Molecule: unclassified non-coding RNA, 1046 nt
Filed under: Bombus terrestris (buff-tailed bumblebee)
Lineage: Eukaryota; Metazoa; Arthropoda; Insecta; Hymenoptera; Apidae
Description: misc RNA ENSBTSG00005019947.1
Source: RNAcentral
AACGUAGAUGCUGUACGUAGCCGACGUUUAACCAGACUGCAGUCGGCUGACGAAAGCGCAAGCUCGUUUACAAUUGGUCUUGUUAGAUUUGUGGACACGAAGAUGAGCAUAGCUCGUAGGCUUAGUCCGUGCAAACGCGCAAGUCGAUCUUGCAGCUGGAUUUCGGGGAUCGAUGGCCGACUUUAAGCACAGCAGAUUCGCGGCAAUGAACACUAAAAUCGAUAUCCUAAGCCGAAAUUCAUCAACGAGACGAUAUCGACUUUGAGAAGGACCCUUUAGAUUUCAGAUUACGGCUGUUCCAUCUUUCCGUGUUCUCGGACCCAGGCGUGGCAUUCGCAUCGCGAUCCUCGUCCUCCGGAGUGGUGCCGCGAUUAGGAACCGAACCGGUUCCGGUCCCUGUAGGCGAUCGGCUGGUAGAGCCAGCGGGACUCUGCGGUGCGACUUCCUGUGCUGCUGCCGCGCUCGCACCUCCUCCGACGCCUCCGACGCCUCCGACGCCUCCGAUGCUCGCCGACGCUCCAGAAACAGAGACAACGGCGCCUCCGCUGGCAGAGGACAACGACGAAGGCGAGAACAUGUUCGACAUGCUCGACAAUGAGCCGAUACUUGGCAAACCGGAACCGGUGACCGGACCGUUUCCUGUUUCUACUUUCAGACACUUGCUCGGCGGAGCGAAAGCCGAUGGCCCCAGGGGCCUGAACCCUCCGAACGGUAAACGGUGAUCCAAAGGGUGCAAAAAUUGCGGCGGCAAGUGGAGCAUAUGAUGGAGGCCGUAACCCAGAGAAGCCGCAGUGCUGAACGGCACUUGGAGAUCCUUCGAGUCGGUCACCUGGACAAUAAAAAAGAAUAUCAUUAGUCACGGAGAGAUUGUUAUGGGAUAAAUAUACUACCGUGAAGAAGUGCUUGGAUCGUUAGUUGAUUUUGAUACUCGCAAGAUUACUCCAGAGAUCUGUCAAAAAUAGAAUUCGUACAGUGGCUGGCACAGUAUUGAAACAAUUUUCGAGAAGAAACUUCAUUCGUGAAACGAACAUCUUUACAUGGAACAG